Molecule: RNase P RNA, 348 nt
Filed under: Syntrophomonas sp.
Lineage: Bacteria; Bacillati; Bacillota; Clostridia; Eubacteriales; Syntrophomonadaceae
Description: RNase P RNA component class B
Rfam family: Bacterial RNase P class B
About the family: Ribonuclease P (RNase P) is a ubiquitous endoribonuclease, found in archaea, bacteria and eukarya as well as chloroplasts and mitochondria.
Source: RNAcentral
UACAGCGGGUAGUCGCUGCCUGAUAUUCAGGUAGAGGAAAGUCGAGACACGCACAUCCUGCAGGCAAUAAGGUGUUUUUUAUGGUCUGUAAGAUGUAGUAUGGUGCCUGGCGCAAGCCAGGGCAGGGUAACCUGACGACGGCAAAAGGAACUUUAGAAGUUUCAAGUAGCUGUAAAGUGCCACAGAAACGAUGUUGUCGGGCGACCGGCAAGUGCAAGGGUAAACUCCACUGGCGUGCAACCCGAAUAGGCGGAUUUAUUUCAUCCGCGGGUAGGGGCACCCCGCAAGGGGAAGGAAGCAAGUCUUCCUUAGAAAGAUGACUGCCAAAACAGAAUCUCGCUUACGGCU